RNAcentral lists this ribosomal RNA (769 nucleotides) under Salmonella enterica subsp. enterica serovar Enteritidis. RNAcentral's name for it is "partial 23S ribosomal RNA". It matches the Rfam family "Bacterial large subunit ribosomal RNA", at positions 1 to 678 of the family's 2925-position model. Lineage: Bacteria; Pseudomonadati; Pseudomonadota; Gammaproteobacteria; Enterobacterales; Enterobacteriaceae. The record is from RNAcentral.
AGCGACUAAGCGUACACGGUGGAUGCCCUGGCAGUCAGAGGCGAUGAAGGGCGUGCUAAUCUGCGAUAAGCGCCGGUAAGGUGAUAUGAACCGUUAUAACCGGCGAUACCCGAAUGGGGAAACCCAGUGUGAUUCGUCACACUAUCAUUAACUGAAUCCAUAGGUUAAUGAGGCGAACCGGGGGAACUGAAACAUCUAAGUACCCCGAGGAAAAGAAAUCAACCGAGAUUCCCCCAGUAGCGGCGAGCGAACGGGGAGGAGCCCAGAGCCUGAAUCAGCAUGUGUGUUAGUGGAAGCGUCUGGAAAGGCGCGCGAUACAGGGUGACAGCCCCGUACACAAAAGCGCAUGUGCUGUGAGCUCGAUGAGUAGGGCGGGACACGUGGUAUCCUGUCUGAAUAUGGGGGGACCAUCCUCCAAGGCUAAAUACUCCUGACUGACCGAUAGUGAACCAGUACCGUGAGGGAAAGGCGAAAAGAACCCCGGCGAGGGGAGUGAAAAAGAACCUGAAACCGUGUACGUACAAGCAGUGGGAGCCCCACCACCAAAGCAUUUGCUGUACCGCGUUGACGGAGCGAAGCGACGUCAAACCGAUAAAACAGCAGUGUAAAGUGAGCCGCAGGGCGCUUUGCGCGACAGCGCAAAGGCAGGCGGUUUCGCGUAGCGAAAGCGAAUGCUUUGGGGUGGGGUGACUGCGUACCUUUUGUAUAAUGGGUCAGCGACUUAUAUUCUGUAGCAAGGUUAACCGAAUAGGGGAGCCGGAGGGAAACC